GAUGAACGCUGGCGGCGUGCCUAAUACAUGCAAGUCGAGCGAACAGACGAGGAGCUUGCUCCUUUGACGUUGGCGGCGGACGGGUGAGUAACACGUAGGUAACCUACCUAUAAGACUGGGAUAACUUCGGGAAACCGGAGCUAAUACCGGAUAAUAUUUCGAACCGCAUGGUUCGAUAGUGAAAGAUGGCUUUGCUAUCACUUAUAGAUGGACCUGCGCCGUAUUAGCUAGUUGGUAAGGUAACGGCUUACCAAGGCAACGAUACGUAGCCGACCUGAGAGGGUGAUCGGCCACACUGGAACUGAGACACGGUCCAGACUCCUACGGGAGGCAGCAGUAGGGAAUCUUCCGCAAUGGGCGAAAGCCUGACGGAGCAACGCCGCGUGAGUGAUGAAGGUCUUCGGAUCGUAAAACUCUGUUAUUAGGGAAGAACAAACGUGUAAGUAACUGUGCACGUCUUGACGGUACCUAAUCAGAAAGCCACGGCUAACUACGUG
Molecule: ribosomal RNA, 497 nt
Filed under: uncultured bacterium
Lineage: Bacteria
Description: partial 16S ribosomal RNA
Rfam family: Bacterial small subunit ribosomal RNA
Source: RNAcentral